GAAAUAAAUAAAAAUAAGCUUCUAACUUAAUAAUAAAGCAUAAAUUGUUUAUAUUUCU
Molecule: transfer RNA, 58 nt
Filed under: Paratenetus tropicalis
Lineage: Eukaryota; Metazoa; Arthropoda; Insecta; Coleoptera; Tenebrionidae
Also listed under: 1 other name
Description: tRNA-Ser
Source: RNAcentral